GGUCCAGACUCCUACGGGAGGCAGCAGUGGGGGAUAUUGCACAAUGGGGGAAACCCUGAUGCAGCGACGCCGCGUGGGUGAAGAAGCGCCUCGGCGCGUAAAGCCCUGUCAGCAGGGAAGAAAAUGACGGUACCUGAGUAAGAAGCCCCGGCUAACUACGUGCCAGCAGCCGCGGUAAUACGUAGGGGGCAAGCGUUAUCCGGAUUUACUUGGUGUAAAGGGAGCGUAGACGGCGAAGAAAGUCUGAAGUGAAAGCCCGCGGCUCAACCGCGGAAUGGCUUUGGAAACUUUUUUGCUGGAGUACCGGAGAGGUAAGCGGAAUUCCUAGUGUAGCGGUGAAAUGCGUAGAUAUUAGGAGGAACGCCAGUGGCGAAGGCGACUUUCUGGACUGUACCUGACGCUGAGGCGCGAAAGCGUGGGUAGCGAACGGGAUUAGAUACCCCGGUACC
Molecule: ribosomal RNA, 449 nt
Filed under: uncultured bacterium
Lineage: Bacteria
Description: bacterial SSU rRNA
Rfam family: Bacterial small subunit ribosomal RNA
Source: RNAcentral